Molecule: non-coding RNA, 26 nt
Filed under: Rattus norvegicus (Norway rat)
Lineage: Eukaryota; Metazoa; Chordata; Mammalia; Rodentia; Muridae
Source: RNAcentral
UCAUGUGCUUUGAACUUUCCUCCAUU